Molecule: non-coding RNA, 1453 nt
Organism: Parasteatoda tepidariorum (common house spider)
Lineage: Eukaryota; Metazoa; Arthropoda; Arachnida; Araneae; Theridiidae
Source: RefSeq, a predicted model, not a curated record
AAGAUGAUUAUAAAUAAUUUCUUCUAUGUUGGAUGGCAACAGUCUGGAUGAAAAAUAGAACAGCUAUGGUGAAUAAAUAUUUGCUAACCUUCUGAAUAAGUCUAUCUUGUAUUAAAGUGAUAAAACAACACUUCAGUGGUGACCCGAACGUGAUUGUGACAAGGUCUGGAAGACAUGUACACUUUUCAGCAAAACUGAGUCAACGUCAAGAGAUCUGGCGUCAAAAAGUAUGGCUAUUUGAAGGAAGAUGGAGUAGUUGAGAAAAAGAAGGGAAAACCCUUCAAUCACAAAUCAUAUUUUAAAGAUGUUGUCUUGGACAACUAUGAUGUGAUUAAACCAUUCGUUGGUAGAAUCGGCUCAGAAUAUUUGGAUCUCAAUUUGGCUCAGCCAGAAAAUCUUGAUGCUGCAUUCUCCAGUGAUCCUAAUGAAGCUGGCAAUUCUGAGAUCAAAAAUGAUCCAAAUAAUUGUCAGAAUUAAAUUGUUCAUACUUUGAACAUUUAUACUUUCUUGACAUUUUCAACAGAAAUGUGAAGGAUUUGACGUAUAAUUUGAUGAGCCCUUGAUGGAUGAACUCUUUUAUUGAAAUUGAAAACUUACCUGACUAGUUCAUUCAAACUCAAAACAUUUGAGAGACUAUUGACUAUUGUGAAAUAUGAGCCAUUGAAAUUGUGGAAUUGUUUUUGAAACUUCUCUAGAAAUUUACGCAAAAACUUAAUGAAUUUGAACAACUCAUUAACAUUGUGAUAUGAGCCCCUAAAAAGGAUGGACUCACUGUUUUCGAAACUGAAAACUCACCCGACUAUGUCAUAAGAACCCAAAUAUUUCGAAUGACUCACGAAUAUUGUGUGAUAUGAGCCCCUAAAAAGGAUGAACUCACUGUUUUCGAAACUGAAAACUCACCCGACUAUGUCAUAAAACCUAAAUAUUUUGAAUGACUCGCGAAUAUUGUGUGAUAUGAUCCCUUAAAAAGGAUGGACUCACUGAUUUCGAAAUUGAAAACUCUCCCAAGUAUGUCGUAAACGCCCAAAUAUUUUGAAUGACUCAAGAAUAUUGUGUGAUAUGAGCCCCUAAAAAGGAUGAACUCACUGUUUUCGAAACUUGAAACUCUCCCGACUAUGUCAUAAAAUCUCAAAUCUUUUGAAUGACUCACGAAUAUUGUGUGAUAUGAGCCCUUAAAAAGGACGGACUCAAUGUUUUCGAAACUGAAAACUCACCCGACUAUAUCGUAAAAUUCUCAAAGAUUGUGAACGAAUCAUGACUAUUCUGAGAUGCGAGUCGUUGAAAGGACGGACUUUCUGUUUUUGAAACUUAAAUUCUCAACAUUUCGAAAAGCUGUACCUGAUUUCUUAAAUAAUAAUUAUAAAAAAAAAUUUAAAAAAAAUAAAAACAAAAAAAAACAAAAGAUAAUGUUUUGUUAUUGAUCUGCUUUUUGUAAUGCUUCAUGUAACACAAA